GAUGAAGAACGCAGCGAAAUGCGAUAAGUAAUGUGAAUUGCAGAAUUCAGUGAAUCAUCGAAUCUUUCAACGCACAUUGCGCCCCCUGGUAUUCCGGGGGGCAUGCCUGUCCGAGCGUCAUUACAACCCUCAAGCUCAGCUUGGUAUUGGGCCCCGCCGACCCGGCGGGCCCUAAAGUCAGUGGCGGUGCCGUCCGGCUCCGAGCGUAGUAAUUCUUCUCGCUCUGGAGGUCCGGUCGUGUGCUCGCCAGCAACCCCCAAUUUUUUUCAGGUUGACCUCGGAUCAGGUAGGGAUACCCGCUGAACUUAAGCAUAUCAAUAAGCGGAGGA
This 329-nucleotide unclassified non-coding RNA is filed under the name soil metagenome. RNAcentral describes it as "partial contains 5.8S ribosomal RNA, internal transcribed spacer 2, and large subunit ribosomal RNA". The stretch from base 1 to 120 matches the Rfam family "5.8S ribosomal RNA", at positions 35 to 154 of the family's 154-position model. The record is from RNAcentral.